This 253-nucleotide ribosomal RNA is filed under the name uncultured bacterium. Its description in RNAcentral is "partial 16S ribosomal RNA". It matches the Rfam family "Bacterial small subunit ribosomal RNA", at positions 524 to 776 of the family's 1533-position model. The record is from RNAcentral.
UACGAAGGGUGCAAGCGUUACUCGGAAUUACUGGGCGUAAAGCGUGCGUAGGCGGUUUGUUAAGUCCGCUGUGAAAGCCCUGGGCUCAACCUGGGAAUUGCAGUGGAUACUGGCAAGCUAGAGUGCGGUAGAGGAUGGUGGAAUUCCCGGUGUAGCGGUGAAAUGCGUAGAGAUCGGGAGGAACACCUGUGGCGAAGGCGGCCCCCUGGGCCGGCCCUGACGCUGAGACGCGAAGGCGCGGGGAGCGAACGGG